This 176-nucleotide non-coding RNA is filed under the name Garciella nitratireducens. RNAcentral also lists the same sequence under 1 other name. Lineage: Bacteria; Bacillati; Bacillota; Clostridia; Eubacteriales; Eubacteriaceae. The record is from RNAcentral.
UUAAAUAUUAAAAUUUAAGGUGUUUUUAUUAAGGGAAAGAGGUGAAAAUCCUCUGCAGCCACCGCUACUGUGAGUAGGGAUGAAAUCUUUUUGUAAUCCACUGGUUUUUGCUGGGAAGGAAAAAGAAAGUAAGAUGAUCUACAAGCCAGGAGACCUGCCUUAAAUUUAGAACUAUU